AAGUGCUCUAAUUAAUAUAAAAUCUAAUUCUUAAGUUUAUUUUUAACUCAGCUUCAAGAGCUUUUUACAUAAUCUAGUUAAACAAGCGUUAUGAAUAUUUUUAUUAUUAAUUAUUUUCAAUCCUUCUGCCAAUUAAAUUUUCUUUAAUACUACGCAGUGAACAUGUGUGUGAAGCUAAUGUUUUAUUAUUAGAUGUUAUUUUUGAUGACUUUUAGCUGUCGCUUCGGCACUUUUGCCAGUUAUGAAUGUGCGAAAUCGUAAAAAUUCCUGUCAACGGUUACAACAAACGAUGUGAGGAAUUUUUCAAGAGAGGGAUGCAGCAUCAAGGGGGGAAGGGAAAGAAUGUGGGAAAAUUGUCGAUACGUGAGUCGUGCAGCUGCCAGCUGUUGGUAUUGGCAACCCAUUAAAAGUGUGAUGCGAUGCCACAACCCAAAAAAAAAAAAAAAAAAAAAGGGAGAACAACAAAAAGGAAUACAAGUUUUUGGCAUUACAAAUAUGCAUUUGAU
This is a long non-coding RNA of Drosophila sulfurigaster albostrigata, 506 nucleotides long. RefSeq lists it as uncharacterized. The record is from RefSeq and is a predicted model, not a curated record. NCBI's taxonomy places the organism in Eukaryota, Metazoa, Arthropoda, Insecta, Diptera, Drosophilidae. The transcript is spliced from 2 exons.